GACGGAGGAUGCGAGCGUUAUCCGGAUUUAUUGGGUUUAAAGGGUGCGUAGGCGGGCUUUUAAGUCAGCGGUAAAAAUUCGGGGCUCAACCCCGUCCGGCCGUUGAAACUGGGGGCCUUGAGUGGGCGAGAAGAAGGCGGAAUGCGUGGUGUAGCGGUGAAAUGCAUAGAUAUCACGCAGAACCCCGAUUGCGAAGGCAGCCUUCCGGCGCCCUACUGACGCUGAGGCACGAAAGUGCGGGGAUCGAACAGG
RNAcentral lists this ribosomal RNA (252 nucleotides) under uncultured bacterium. RNAcentral describes it as "partial 16S ribosomal RNA". It matches the Rfam family "Bacterial small subunit ribosomal RNA", at positions 524 to 776 of the family's 1533-position model. The record is from RNAcentral.